Molecule: long non-coding RNA, 486 nt
Organism: Nematolebias whitei (Rio pearlfish)
Lineage: Eukaryota; Metazoa; Chordata; Actinopteri; Cyprinodontiformes; Rivulidae
Exons: 3
Source: RefSeq, a predicted model, not a curated record
CUUCACUUGCACCCACCAUCUCCGAGGCCGUGCCCACCGAGAGGCAGGGCCGGUUCAGGAGACGUAACGUCAUGUCGCUGAGUGAUGCGUACAGUAUGUGUCUGAUCUGUCACGUGGACCUGAGCCAAGGUUCAGGUGGCACCAGAGAGCUGCAGUGCACACACACCUUCCACAAAAAGUGCAUAGAGGAGUGGUUGUGGAAGAAACAGUCCUGUCCAACGUGUCACAUUCAUGUGACUAUGCCACAACCCGUCUACUGGAACUCCACAAGAGUUAAAGUCCCGUGAAACCUCCAGGAAAAAAAAAAAAUUCCUAAAACUGAACUACGUCACCAUCAAGGUUUUCCUAAAGUGGAAGCUGCUGAUUUAAGAGAACAAACAAAUGACCACGAACAAACUGUGUAUCACAUUAACAUGGAUACGAUUAGGAAUGAGAUCAUCAGAGGUAAAGCGCAGGUUGAACAACUGGGAGAUAAAGUUAGGGAGG